UUACCUGUAGUUUAUAAAAUAUUGGCAUUGGAAGCCAAAGUUCUGGAUAUUUAUUGGUUCUAGUGGGUAAA
This 71-nucleotide transfer RNA is filed under the name Dendropoma gregarium. Its description in RNAcentral is "tRNA-Pro". Lineage: Eukaryota; Metazoa; Mollusca; Gastropoda; Littorinimorpha; Vermetidae. The record is from RNAcentral.